GUUGGGGGCAUUAGUACUUAACUGUCAGNNNGUGGAAUUCUCAGAUUUGUUAAAGACUGACUUAUGCGAAAGCAUUUGCCAAGGAUGUUUUCAUCGAUCAAGAACGAAAGU
This 111-nucleotide ribosomal RNA is filed under the name uncultured eukaryote. Its description in RNAcentral is "partial small subunit ribosomal RNA". It matches the Rfam family "Eukaryotic small subunit ribosomal RNA", at positions 881 to 990 of the family's 1831-position model. The record is from RNAcentral.